AAACCUCAACCUCCUUGGUUUCUUCUGGAGACCGAAGGAGGCUUGGACUUUGGAGGCAUUUGCUGGACUUUUGAAGCCCAGCUCCUCUCAAAUGAAUUAGCGGGGUCCUCUUUGCCGGUCCUUGACACGUGAUAAGAUGCUUCCGUGUCUCGGUUUCUGGCUCUGUCGCCUUUGGGACCCGCUUCUAACCGUCUAGACCUAGGUCGAGACAACGUUCGAGCUCGUCUCCCUUCUCGGGAGACCUUCUCGGCCCCACGAAC
Molecule: unclassified non-coding RNA, 260 nt
Filed under: uncultured Lactarius
Lineage: Eukaryota; Fungi; Basidiomycota; Agaricomycetes; Russulales; Russulaceae
Description: sequence contains ITS2
Source: RNAcentral